Lolium rigidum is the source of this 462-nucleotide long non-coding RNA. RefSeq lists it as uncharacterized. Lineage: Eukaryota; Viridiplantae; Streptophyta; Magnoliopsida; Poales; Poaceae. The transcript has 3 exons. The record is from RefSeq and is a predicted model, not a curated record.
CAGGAUGAGCUGGAAGAACUGGAAGGAGCAGAGUUGGAAAAUCAACUACUUGAGCCUAUACCUUACCAUCAGGUUCACUUUUUGAUUUUGUGGGUCAGAUCAUCAAGAGCAGCAAUUAGCGAACUGAAUUACCACAACACUUGUGUGCUCACCUCACUCGUCUCUUUAAGCCCUGCACUCUAGCUUAAGACCCUCCAGCUUGAGACCCAAAGUAGUACCAGCAGUCACAGAUGAUCGGUGUUCCACCACGUGAUAUUGUCAGUGCAUCCAAAAGUUCAAUUUGCAUUUAUCUAUGGUGAUAAAUGUCUGGUAGAUUUUCAUGUUCUGGUGUUUUACGCCGCUGCAGCAGGACAUCUCGGAGGCGUGUCUCCAAUUGCAAGUUGUCUGCUAGAAGUUCCUAUUCUGGUGUGAAGAAUUGAAUGCACAAGGAUACCAUGUACCAUUUCCAUGUUCACCUAUGAU